GGUUGCAUUCAAUUUCAAUACUAAGGAUGUGGUAACAACUAAAAACCUUCUACAGCGUGGAUCCAAACCCUUUUGAUACACUUCUCCCUCAAAGUCAGACAUUGGUCCUCUUCACCGCUCUUCAACUCCUCUUGCCCCCAGUGUGAUAUUUCCUUCCAGCUAAAAUUACUGCCUUCCUUUUUCUGUGGACCAUUCCAUGAAAGAAACAUUUGAAGAACUGAG
RNAcentral lists this long non-coding RNA (222 nucleotides) under Gallus gallus (chicken). The record is from RNAcentral. Lineage: Eukaryota; Metazoa; Chordata; Aves; Galliformes; Phasianidae.